GUGUGUGUGUGUGUUUGUGUGUGUGGAUAUAUCUAUCUAUAUAUAUAUAUACAUAUAUAUAUAGAUAGAUAAAUAUAUAUAUAGAUAUAUCCACACACACACACACGCGG
This 110-nucleotide microRNA precursor is filed under the name Pelobates cultripes (western spadefoot toad). Lineage: Eukaryota; Metazoa; Chordata; Amphibia; Anura; Pelobatidae. The record is from RNAcentral.